UAGCUCAGUGGUUAAGAGCACUGGAUGCUCUUCCAGAGGUUCUGAGUUCAAAUCCCAG
RNAcentral lists this transfer RNA (58 nucleotides) under Mus musculus (house mouse). It matches the Rfam family "tRNA", at positions 8 to 63 of the family's 71-position model. Rfam says of the family: Transfer RNA (tRNA) molecules are approximately 80 nucleotides in length. Their secondary structure includes four short double-helical elements and three loops (D, anti-codon, and T loops). The record is from Rfam by way of RNAcentral. RNAcentral also lists the same sequence under 1 other name. Lineage: Eukaryota; Metazoa; Chordata; Mammalia; Rodentia; Muridae.